CUGCCAUUAUAACGGGAGUGGGGAGGUUGUCCCACAAGUGCUGGUCUGGAUGGUGCUGUCGCUGGGGCAGGAGCAAUAACUGGAAACGGUUGCGGGUUGGGUUUUGCAUACCCUCGGUUAUUAUUUUUAUGAUGCCUCCUAGCAUCAUAAUGUUGGUCGGCCAAUCGUGCCGCUUCGGUUAGGGUGUGAGGAUUUCAGUCAUUCACCCAUUCUUGAGCCUCUGGUGCCAGGCCAUUACAAAACUGCUCCAGUAGCAACAUCUGGCGUAACUCUUCCAUGGUGGUAGCUCUGCUGGCUUGUAUCCAGC
This is a non-coding RNA of Pelobates cultripes (western spadefoot toad), 307 nucleotides long. The record is from the annotation of a GenBank genome assembly. NCBI's taxonomy places the organism in Eukaryota, Metazoa, Chordata, Amphibia, Anura, Pelobatidae.